ACUACGGGUGGCAGCAGUGAGGAAUAUUGGUCAAUGGACGAGAGUCUGAACCAGCCAAGUAGCGUGAAGGAUGACUGCCCUAUGGGUUGUAAACCUCUUUUAUAAAGGAACAAAACGCGGCACGUGUGCCUUUUUGCAUGUACUUUAUGAAUAAGGAUCGGCUAACUCCGUGCCAGCAUCCGCGGUAAUACGGAGGUUCCGAGCAUUAUCCGGAUUUUUUGGGUUUAAAGGUACCGUAGAUGGGUUGUUAAGUCAGUUGGGAAUGUUUGCGGCUCAAACGUAAAAUUGCAAUUGAUACUGGCAGUCGUGAGUACAGUUGAGGUAGGCGGAAUUCGUGGUGUAGCGGUGAAAUGCUUAGAUAUCACGAAGAACCCCGAUUGCGAAGGCAGCUUACUAAACUGUGACUGACAUUGAUGCUCGAAAGUGUGGGUAUCAAACAGGAUUAGAUACCCCGGUAGUC
Molecule: ribosomal RNA, 460 nt
Filed under: uncultured bacterium
Lineage: Bacteria
Description: partial 16S ribosomal RNA
Rfam family: Bacterial small subunit ribosomal RNA
Source: RNAcentral